GCGGGCCGCAGGCGUGAGGGCGGGGCGGGGAGGGGAGGCCGGGCCGGGCCAGGCCGCCGGGGCUGAGGGCGGCCGCCGGCUCCCGUGUCCCGGCCGGGCUCGGCUGAGGGCCCAGGGGUGCGGAGCGGAGGGCUGGGUGCGGGGGCUGGGCCGUAGGAAGGCGCGAAGGACCGAAGUCGGGCUUCUGGGAGCGUCUCACGCCCUCAUCUACACAAUGAACAAGAGAAGGAAAAGGUUGCAAGAUCUCUACAGGGAUGCACUCAGCCAGAAGAGUAAACAGUAGUAAAAAAUUAUCUUCCGGGAUCUCCCCGAGAGAUAGAGAUAGAGCUGCUGAAAGCCAGCCACACGAACUGCUGCAGGGUUUGCAACAGCAUCCACAGCUGUGAAACUGGAAAGGGCCAACAGGUCAGUCUGCGUCACUCGAAACACCUUCCCUGUUCUCCAUCUGCUACAGGAACCCCUAUUGCGCAGGUACAUGCUUGGGUAUAAACCCAGCCUGACAACAACCAGGAAGACCCAAAAUACCUAGAUAUUGGGAACCUUUCCUAGUUACCAUGCGGGUUUAACCUUUUGUCCAGUCUUGGCAUUGUGAAGGAAGCCAGGAAAGCAGUUUUUUCGGUUUUAUAGCGUGCUGCCUUCCACUGUGUAACACACUCCAAAGUCUUUUGGGUUUUUUUGACAAACUGCUAGUGUUAGAAAAAAAAUAUAAUAUUGUUAUUCAUUUAGCAAUAGAAGUCAACAAGCUUUUUCAUUAUUGACUGGGAAAUGAAUAUCAAAACCCACAAAUUUUAUGCUUAAACAUGAAAAGUCCAAAGAUGUUAGGUCUUUAUCAAAACAAAUUUUAAGAGACAAAUUUGUGUUCUGCACAGAAAUAGAUUUAUUGAAAAUCUUAAGGAAAACAAUAUAUUAACUAGUUCUGUCUGGCAUGCUAUUAUCAUGAUGUUUGUGAUAAAAAUCAAUUAAUAGGCAAAUCACUAUUUUAUACAUUAACUUCAAAUUUCAUACUCUGACUUCAAUCUCAGGGCUGAUUUAAGAAGUACCUUCACGUGGAACAUAUGCUGGGGAUUUUUUGUAUGUUUGUUAAGGCUAGUGUAAUUAGGGGGUUAAUUAGAAUCUUAAAUGCUUAGUUCACAUGUUGUGAGAUAUGUCUCACUCUAUAAAAAGAACUUUAUGACAUGGGAAAAAAGGGUUGUGUUUUUUUUUUUUCUUUAUAGCUGACAGUCUUGUGAAUUGGCAGCAUGAGAGUCCAAAUGAGAGACUAUAAACAUUUUUAAAUAAGCCGUUUCCAAUUUUCUUUUAUGAUUUGUAAUAAUUGAACUCUCUUGUGUUCUUGACGCUCAUAUUGCCACAAUGUUCCUCAAGCUAUACUUACUGUGUCAGCUACCUCUACGUUAUGGCUAUAAAGGUUGUGUCGAGCUGCAUACAGUAGAAACAAAAUAAA
This 1441-nucleotide long non-coding RNA is filed under the name Calidris pugnax (ruff). Its description in RNAcentral is "lncRNA (ENSCPUG00000011679.1)". The record is from RNAcentral. Lineage: Eukaryota; Metazoa; Chordata; Aves; Charadriiformes; Scolopacidae.